GACGAACGCUGGCGGCGUGCUUAACACAUGCAAGUCGAACGGUGAAGGGGAGCUUGCUCCCCGGAUCAGUGGCGAACGGGUGAGUAACACGUGGGCAACCUGCCCCAGACUUCGGGAUAACGCUUCGAAAGAGGUGCUAAUACCGGAUACGAACUCCUUGGGCAUCCUGGGAGCUGGAAAGUUUUUCGGUCUGGGAUGGGCCCGCGGCCUAUCAGGCUGUUGGUGAGGCAACGGCUCACCAAGGCGACGACGGGUAGCCGGCCUGAGAGGGCGACCGGCCACACUGGGACUGAGACACGGCCCAGACUCCUACGGGAGGCAGCAGUGGGGAAUAUUGCGCAAUGGGCGAAAGCCUGACGCAGCAACGCCGCGUGAGGGAUGACGGCCUUCGGGUUGUAAACCUCUUUCAGCAGGGAAGAAGCGAAAGUGACGGUACCUGCAGAAGAAGCACCGGCUAACUACGUGCCAGCCGCCGCAGUAA
RNAcentral lists this ribosomal RNA (481 nucleotides) under uncultured bacterium. Its description in RNAcentral is "partial 16S ribosomal RNA". It matches the Rfam family "Bacterial small subunit ribosomal RNA", at positions 28 to 523 of the family's 1533-position model. The record is from RNAcentral.